ACCCGGCAACCCUACACCAGCAACGAUCAGCGAGGCCAGCAGCAGAACCCCCAUCCCCCUAAAUGCCUUUUCGACGAGAGUUUUUUCCGCAAGGUAAAUAAAUGGGAUGCUAAACAACGUUUCCUGUGGCUUGGUGCUCGUACCAACGAGGUUUUAUGUCAUGUACUAGCAAUCAUCAUUUUACCUUGCAAAACAAAUAUGUUCAUUACUCAUCGGCUUUGUUGCCUUUUUUUACAAACCGAAUGCCUUUACUGUAGUAGACUAAUCGGCGUAUGCUAUUUUUUUUUGCCGCCAAUGUUUUCCCCCCGCGGUUGGUGGAUCUGGCUACGCAAGCCAUUCUGGUAGCACAGCAACGGACACUGCUAGCGCAAUCUGUCGAACAGCACCAUGGCCUUCUUCCUAAAAAAUUCUGCCAAGCUCGCAGGUAUAUCGUCAGAAGACGUGUCUCUGUACGAAGAGGAUGCUAGCGGUCCCCACGAAAUUCAGUGGAGCGAGGGUGUAUAUUCGUCAGAAGAUUUAGAGACCAUCCCUGGGAGCGCAGCAGCCAUUGGGAUAAACUUAAGAGAACCUAGCCUGGACCAAGCAGGAAAGGGGAAGAGCGUUCUAGCAUCCGAGAUGAAAUUUCUCAGGGCACCCCCAUAGCGCGCAGAUGACCAUGAAUGAACUGGACCCAAAACGAAAAGGGAAGGCUAUUUGCGUCGAAGGGAGCAAUCCGCCCAACGCGCAGGGUGGGUCGCACGUACUGAAUGAUUGGGAUUUGAACGAAACAAAUGGAACCCAAAUUGGAAGCUUCUGCUUAUGCGACCUAUACCGCUCACCGUUCAACCUGAACGAGAGCCAGCCCAUCAUGGAGUACGUCGAUUUUGGCAUCAUCCCGGAAUACAACGCAUCCCCCAGACGGAUGGGAAGCCCAGAUUUUGCGGCGCAUCAGCCUUUGUUCGACCGGACUCCAGAGAAUACAAGGAUUUCGGCUCUGUACCCAGGAUGGCCCCAUCCCCAAUGAGAAAUCAACACUUUCGGUUAGAACUUUCAUCAACGCCGGCACGUUACCCGAGGUAGACGCCGAACAAAGCAGUAAGGCGCCAUCACCCACUGGCAUGCAGACCUUGAACGCCCCAUUGCAUACCACACGAGGUAAUGGCAAUUUCCUGAACGUUGCCCCCUCACCGUUCAUACGGGCUCUGCACCACGAACUGCCCGAUCGAGAGGUUGCGCGGAACUUCCACGACAAUGUGUACACAUGCUUUGGGGAGGAAACACAACGCAUAUGGGUUAGCCACGUCGGGUUGCCGCCAGUGAACCUAACUGGUCAGCAAGUGAAGGAAGCAUUAUGCUACGAAUGGGACCUCAGCUUCGAUUGUAUGGACGCAAUAGUUCAUCUUUCAACGAGAAAGAAGCAGCCAUGCACAUUGGCUUACCUGCAGGCAGAUGGAGGAUUUUUGCUUCCACCGAAGUGAUGCUGCAGUGGGUUUAUCCCGAGCGUAAGCGUGAAAAUCAGAACAUUCUGCAGAUUCUGCGCCAUGGGAUAUUUGACAUACCCACCCACCUUGCAAGAAUGAUAAUGCUGCCGUAUCCAGCAGAAGGGAGUUGGUCCCUUUAUGUGCUUGACAAGAUCUACCGCCAGAUCACUGUCGUCGACCCAGUAUUAACAUGGAAAAGGGAAGACGAGUACAUGGCAAAGCAUGCGAAGAACAUCCGGCUCAUCAAGAAGGGAUUCACGCCUAUAGGCGCCCUUAUUGGCGGUGGAUGGAAGAUUAAAGAGAAGGAGUGGGACACCAAGUACAACUACAAAUUAUCAUAUCCAUGCACCGUGGAAGAAUCUGCCACCUUCAUCUACCACUAUGCCCGGUACUUCGACGGGGACACUCUCCUAGCCAAUAUCGACCCAGAGGAGUGCCGUAGGUUGAAGCACGAGAUACUGUAUGGGGUCGUUGGCAUGGCCGGUAACGCUGCGGCCAUCCCAACUUUCUGGAGCAACAACGGAACUUGAAGUCCAGGCCAGAUCCCACCGCAUCAACAACCCAGCCCCCAGCAACUAUCCCUAGUUUUAAUUAGAAGACUAUCUCAAUAUGAUGUCCCUAAAUCCUGUCAUCAUAACGAUGACAUGGGAUAAACUGCUAUGCUUCUGUACCUGUUUGUAUAAUUAUGCGAAACAACCAUAGUAUAAUGUGUUUAGUCCAGAUGGUGUC
Molecule: long non-coding RNA, 2189 nt
Organism: Brachypodium distachyon (stiff brome)
Lineage: Eukaryota; Viridiplantae; Streptophyta; Magnoliopsida; Poales; Poaceae
Exons: 14
Source: RefSeq, a predicted model, not a curated record